RNAcentral lists this ribosomal RNA (253 nucleotides) under uncultured bacterium. Its description in RNAcentral is "partial 16S ribosomal RNA". It matches the Rfam family "Bacterial small subunit ribosomal RNA", at positions 524 to 776 of the family's 1533-position model. The record is from RNAcentral.
UACGUAGGGGGCAAGCGUUGUCCGGAAUCAUUGGGCGUAAAGAGCGUGUAGGCGGCUCGAUAAGUCUGCUGUGAAAGUCCAGGGCUCAACCCUGGAAGGCCGGUGGAAACUGUCGGGCUAGAGUCCGGAAGAGGCGAGUGGAAUUCCCGGUGUAGCGGUGAAAUGCGUAGAGAUCGGGAGGAACACCAGAGGCGAAAGCGGCGACCUGGACAGGCACUGACACUCAACUACGAAAGCGUGGGGAGCAAACAGG